UCGAAACCUGCCCGAAAAGCAGAACGACCCGCGAACGCGUCCCCUUACUACUCGCUCUUUGGGCUCUCUCGGGGCUCUGGGCUGUCUGGGUCGCCGUCCCCGUCGGGGGCAACCCCGUUCGGAGGCGGCCUAGCUAAUAACGAACCCCGGCGCGAUCCGCGCCAAGGAAUACGCAACUAAAAACCCGAGGGGAGAGCCGUCGUCUCGGCGUCGCUUCUUCUCUCGGGGUGCAGCUAAAAUACAUAA
RNAcentral lists this ribosomal RNA (246 nucleotides) under Lobelia blanda. RNAcentral's name for it is "partial 5.8S ribosomal RNA". Lineage: Eukaryota; Viridiplantae; Streptophyta; Magnoliopsida; Asterales; Campanulaceae. The record is from RNAcentral.